This 425-nucleotide ribosomal RNA is filed under the name uncultured bacterium. RNAcentral describes it as "bacterial SSU rRNA". It matches the Rfam family "Bacterial small subunit ribosomal RNA", at positions 354 to 796 of the family's 1533-position model. The record is from RNAcentral.
GUCGGGAAUUUUGCUCAAUGGGGGAAACCCUGAAGCAGCAACGCCGCGUGAGGGAUGAAGGCCUUCGGGUUGUAAACCUCUUUUGUCAGGGACGAUGAUGACGGUACCUGGCGAAUAAGCCACGGCUAACUACGUGCCAGCAGCCGCGGUAAUACGUAGGUGGCAAGCGUUGUCCGGAUUUACUGGGCGUAAAGAGCGCGCAGGCGGUCUUGUAAGUCGAAUGUGAAAGCCCCUGGCUCAACCAGGGAGGGUCAUUCGAUACUGCUUGACUCGAAGGCAGGAGAGGGAAGUGGAAUUCCGGGUGUAGUGGUGAAAUGCGUAGAUAUCCGGAGGAACACCAGUGGCGAAGGCGACUUUCUGGCCUGUUCUUGACGCUGAGGCGCGAAAGCUAGGGGAGCAAACGGGAUUAGAAACCCCAGUAGUCC